RNAcentral lists this ribosomal RNA (497 nucleotides) under uncultured bacterium. Its description in RNAcentral is "partial 16S ribosomal RNA". It matches the Rfam family "Bacterial small subunit ribosomal RNA", at positions 28 to 507 of the family's 1533-position model. The record is from RNAcentral.
GAUGAACGCUGGCGGCGUGCCUAAUACAUGCAAGUCGAGCGAACAGAUGAGGAGCUUGCUCCUCUGACGUUAGCGGCGGACGGGUGAGUAACACGUGGAUAACCUACCUAUAAGACUGGGAUAACUUCGGGAAACCGGAGCUAAUACCGGAUAAUAUAUUGAACCGCAUGGUUCAAUAGUGAAAGACGGUUUUGCUGUCACUUAUAGAUGGAUCCGCGCCGCAUUAGCUAGUUGGUAAGGUAACGGCUUACCAAGGCAACGAUGCGUAGCCGACCUGAGAGGGUGAUCGGCCACACUGGAACUGGGACACGGUCCAGACUCCUACGGGAGGCAGCAGUAGGGAAUCUUCCGCAAUGGGCGAAAGCCUGACGGAACAACGCCGCGUGAGUGAUGAAGGUCUUCGGAUCGUAAAACUCUGUUAUUAGGGAAGAACAAAUGUGUAAGUAACUAUGCACGUCUUGACGGUACCUAAUCAGAAAGCCACGGCUAACUACGUG